Long non-coding RNA from Sapajus apella (tufted capuchin), 4201 nucleotides. RefSeq lists it as uncharacterized. Lineage: Eukaryota; Metazoa; Chordata; Mammalia; Primates; Cebidae. The transcript has 3 exons. The record is from RefSeq and is a predicted model, not a curated record.
ACUGUACUUCAGCCUGGGUCACAGAGUAAGACUCUGUCUCACAAAAAAAAAAAAAAAAAAAAAAAAGACACUUCCGAUUCUAUUCGAGGCCUGCCUGGAUGAUCUUGGACAGUCUCCCCAUUGCACGACCCUUGAUGUAAUCACAUCUGUAAAGUCUCUUGGCAUGUAGGAUAACUUUCACCAGUUCAGGAGAUUAGGAUGUAAGUAUUUUGAGGGGCCAUUUUUCAGACUGCCAUGCCCGUUGUGUGAAGAUACUAUCAUUUAUUUAUCAUUCUACUGUUGAUGAACUUUUUGUGUUGUUUUCAUUUUGGAGCUAUUAUGAAUCAUGCUGCAUGAGUAUUCUCGUGCAUGUUUUUCUGUGUCUGUUAUACGCACGUGCUAGUGUAUGCAUGCACAUACACAACACAACACACUUUUGUGGUGUGUACAUAUUUAGGAAUCAGUCACAUGGUAAAUGUAAGUUUAACCUCAGAACAUAAUGUCAAACAGUUUUCCAAAGUGGUGGUACCAACUUCUGCCCCUGCUAGUGGUAUAUGAGGGUGCCACAUAUCAUUUAUAAAGAAUAGAGCAUAGUUUGGAAGUUUUGUUCCAGAAUUAAACCCAUUGUUAGCCCACAUUUUACACCCUUUGUAUAUGUUCCAGGAUUUUUCAAAGCAUGUUUAUGUGAAUAGGAAUCUGCAGAGACUGUCUGAGAAAAGAUUUAUUUGACUUAUUUUAUCAAAUUAGUGGACCUUGCUGGGAGCCUCACACUGCAGAUGAACACAUUAAAGGUCUUAAUCUUGUUUAAUUUUAUAUUUGUUUGCCUUAUGUCUGUCAGAGUGGAUUGAACUUUGACUCAGUUUCCCUCUUUUGAUGUCUUAAAGAAACAGAGUUCCAAGAGAUACCCUUUGAAAAUUCUGGAUUGAAUCAUAAUUCAGAAUGUUCUUUGCUGAAAAAGUAAUGAGAAGUUUCCUUUUAGAAGGAAAAAAAAAAAACCCGACUAGCAUGUCUUUGAGUAUUCACUCCAUAAAGACCUAUCUAUAGAGAAAUAAAAACUACCAGAAAAUGGGUUGAAUUCGCUCCUAUUUGGUUUUGUUUUAGUGAAACCUGUAGGUUAGGGAAAGUUGAUUUGCAAUACUGCAGUCUUAAAUUUCACAUCAAGGAGCCCAAUAUAUAUAAAAAAAAAAAUCUAGUAACUGAGAACAGUGUCAGUGGGAUUCAUCCAAAAAUGUUUGUCCCUGAUAUACUUAUUUUCCAUCUGGAUCUCUUGACACAUUCCACCACUCCUACCGCUGCUCUUACCUUUUUUUUUUACUUCUCUAAACCAGCAUGUAACAGAACAAUCUGCUUCUUAUUUCUUCUUUCUUUUGGUCAUUACUUUUUGUUGUUGUUGACUUAAAUUCUAAUCUUGUUUAUAUGGGUGAUGUUUCUCCUUGUACCAUAUAAAGGUCAGGAUCCCUGCUCUAGGGCCCACAGCCCACCUGGAAAAUACCCAGCUCUCCUACCUCAAACAGCCCUGUACCUUUGCCAGUGGUGAUCUGAGGAGGACAGGCUGAGACUGAUGGGACCACAGAAUAUGAGUAGGAGAAGCACUGAGAGUGGCUAAAAUGUAAUUUAGAGGUUAAAAUACCAGUGUAUGGAUACCCUGGCCGUGCGCUCUGUAAUUACUUCAACCUUCUGCCUUGACUUAUAUUGAGGAUCAAGCUAGACAUGAAUACAUUACACAAGCGCUAGGAAAUACACUACUCAAAUAAUAUUUUACACUACGAAGUUUGGGCUUGUUUACUCCCCUCCAUUUCCUUUGCAUUUCUUCUUCAAUUGAACCAAUGUCUUUACUAGAACUUUUUAAUACAUGUUUUGGUUUUGCAUUACUCAUUGCAAAUGUUUCAUAAUCGUGCCCUUUUGCAGGGUAUGUUGUGAUGCUUUUAUUAGUAGAUGAGUUGUCAGUAUUUAUCUCUUUCCACAGUGGCUGGUAGGACAAGUGGAGAAUUAGAACUGAGGUUUUAAUCUAAUUUGGUGAUCUCAGUUUUAGAUCUGAAGACUUAGAAACGAGGCCUGGACCAGAUGGCCUCUUAUUUUUUUCAUGAUGGUCUAGUUCUCUCUCAGUGAUGACAAUUACAAUAGCCAAAAUUUAUUUCCGUGUGCCUGAUACUCUCAUAAAAAUCUUAUAUAUAUAUCUCGACUCAUUUAAUUCUAAUGAUAAUUCCAUGAGGAAAGUACUUUUGUAUUCCUGUUUUACAGAUAGGAAAGUUGAGACGCAGAGCUUUGUUUAAGUUCACCCAGCUGGUAAGUGGAGGAGCCAGCAUUCACACACAGGCAUCUGACGCCAGGUCCCUCUUCUUAGUCUUUCUGCUAGACCACCUCUCUCUGGCGACACAUAUGACUCACCCAAGCUGCUCUUUAGUCUCCAGUCUUUUUUAACUACUUAAUAUACAAGGGGGAGACGUGAGUCACCUGAGGAUGUGCAAAUCAGGCCCAUUGCUAGUUGUGAAUGGGUAUGUUCCUGGUGGCCGGGGAGACCUCCCUAGCCACCAAUCUCUGUGCCUUGCCUGUGUCAUUGAAACUGUCCACUAAGUUUUGGUGUUUUCUCCUUAGAGAACACAAGAAUGGUGCUCUCUGACUUUAAAAAUCCAGGAACUGAGAAGGACAGACCUCUCAUUUAUGAAGAUAACAUUGAGAAUCCCUUUCUUGAUGUGCCAGUGUCUGGACAGGCCUGUACUAAUCCUACAGCACAGUGAUUAGAGUCAUGGUCUUCCUUUCUUCUGCAUCUCACUUUGGUCCUGUGCUCAUACUUGGCAUAUCCGUCUGCUGGCAAACCCUGUUUCUCCACUGAAAGUGAAUUCCUUGCAUUUUCUUAAAUCCAUAUCUGAAUAUAAUGCUCAAAACUUUUAUAGCUUUUCCUGCUCUUACUGCUCUUUGUCUUUUUAAAACAAUACCACUUUUUAGACAGAGAAUUCUUGCUUUGCCGUACACUGAGUGGGAGCCCCUGCUCACAUCCGGUCACUGGAGAAACAGCCUGGUAUGUCCGUUGUACUCUGCGGUCCCCACAGGUCCUACCUGUGGUUUUACUAGGCUUGUUUCGUCUCCUGCCCUACUAAAGCAUUGGCUUCUCUCACUUACAUUCUCUCCUUCCAUUGGUAUUUGAAUCUGUUUACCCCACCUAAGGACAGACCUCUGGCAGACUGGUCUUUGAAGUCAACAGAUAUGGGUUUAUGUUACCCCUGGGGUACAUGAUGACUUUCCAAGAGGCACUGGGCCCAUGGAGAGUAACAAGGAAAUUAUUUCAGAUAUUCAGCUUCCCUAUAUACUCUUUCCUAAAACAGAUCCACCUGGGGCACAGCUGGACUAAUGGGUUGCCUGGCUUUACCUCUCCCAAAUCUCAUCAUGUCAUGUAGUCACAGGAAGAAACCCCUACUUCUCGGGGUGCCAGAAAAAGGGGUAAUGAGAAGAUUGUUGUGGCAUAGAGAGAGGGCAUGAAUCUAAUGUCUUAGAAAUUAGUCCUUUUGCAAAUCAAAUGUCUUCUAAUUGUUUUAAACAAAAUUGAAUAUGAUCCUGAACAAUUUGUCAAAAAAUGAUGAUUAUCAUGGAAGUUUGUAUUUAUGAUUUUUUUGGGCAUAAAUCUCAGGAAUUUAAAGAAUUAAGGGCCACGGCUAUCACAACGCUUCUUUAAUUCCCAUCAACCAAUUUACAUAAACAAGGCUUUUGCUUUAAUACUAAAAAAUGGAAUGGAAUUACUGUUGAAAUAUUUCUUAUUCUGACAAUAAAAAUAUUCAUUUAUAGAUACAGAUAUCAAAUUAUUCUGUCCAUCUCAUUGAGGAAUGCAUUUCCAAUAAAAAUUUGAUGCUUUAAUUUUUAAUUAUUAUGAAAUUAUACUUUUGUUCUGUCAGAUUGCAUUCUACUAAUAGUUUUAAUGAUAAUCCAGAUUAAAUUUUUAACAUCUAGAACUAUUUGGUCACAGGAAAUAAAUACGUUUUUAAUUUUCAUAACUGUUUUUGUUGCAGAAAGAGUAUGAUAGUGUGAUCAAUAAACCCUAAAACAUGAAGAUGCUUUAUUGGAAUAAAAUUCUGUGGCAGAAGUGGAAUAGAAAUAUAAGUUUAAAGAAAAAAAAGAAACUAUAAAAAUAUGAGUGUGAAAGGAAAAGUUGUUUAUGUAUAUUUUAUGUGGAUCACUAGGUAUGUAAAUAACAAUGGAUACAUUUAAAAGCAUGAGUAAGGAGAAUACU